This 59-nucleotide transfer RNA is filed under the name Caligus rogercresseyi. Its description in RNAcentral is "tRNA-Leu". The record is from RNAcentral. Lineage: Eukaryota; Metazoa; Arthropoda; Copepoda; Siphonostomatoida; Caligidae.
GGGCAUAGCUCAGUGGUAGAUCAAUCGAUAGGUCCAUGGUUUAACUCCGUGUGGCCCCU